CCUACGGGCGACAGCAGUAGGGAAUCUUCCACAAUGGGCGCAAGCCUGAUGGAGCAACACCGCGUGGGUGAAGAAGGUUUUCGGCUCGUAAAGCUCUGUUGUUGGAGAAGAAAGUGCGUGAGAGUAACUGUUCACGCAUUGACGGUAUCCAACCAGAAAGUCACGGCUAACUACGUGCCAGCAGCCGCGGUAAUACGUAGGUGGCAAGCGUUAUCCGGAUUUAUUGGGCGUAAAGCGAGCGCAGGCGGUUGCUUAGGUCUGAUGUGAAAGCCUUCGGCUUAACCGAAGAAGUGCAUCGGAAACCGGGAGACUGGAGUGCAGAAGAGGACAGUGGAACUCCAUGUGUAGCGGUGGAAUGCGUAGAUAUAUGGAAGAACACCAGUGGCGAAGGCGGCUGGCUGGUCUGUAACUGACGCUGAGGCUCGAAAGCAUGGGUAGCGAACAGGAUUAGAUACCCGUGUAGUC
Molecule: ribosomal RNA, 465 nt
Filed under: uncultured bacterium
Lineage: Bacteria
Description: partial 16S ribosomal RNA
Rfam family: Bacterial small subunit ribosomal RNA
Source: RNAcentral